CAGCAGCCGCGGGAAUACGAAGGGUGCAAGCGUUAAUCGGAAUUACUGGGCGUAAAGCGUGCGUAGGCGGUGAGUUAAGUCUGCUGUGAAAUCCCCGGGCUCAACCUGGGAAUGGCAGUGGAUACUGUCUCGCUAAAGUGUGUCAGAGGAUGGUGGAAUUCCCGGUGUAGCGGUGAAAUGCGUAGAGAUCGGGAGGAACAUCAGUGGCGAAGGCGGCCAUCUGGGACAACACUGACGCUGAGGCACGAAAGCGUGGGGAGCAAACAGGAUUAGAUACCCCCGUAGUCCCUGUCUCUUUACC
RNAcentral lists this ribosomal RNA (301 nucleotides) under uncultured bacterium. Its description in RNAcentral is "partial 16S ribosomal RNA". It matches the Rfam family "Bacterial small subunit ribosomal RNA", at positions 509 to 808 of the family's 1533-position model. The record is from RNAcentral.